AUGGUCCAGAUGUCGCUGACAAAGGAGGAGUACAGCUGGUUUUCCGACUUCCUCAAAUUCAAGCACUGUCUCUUAGGGGGAAAGAAGGCCCAGCACUUCUUUUUCAAUUCAACAAACACUCAGAUGAAGAACCUGCCUGCCUACCUGAGGGAGGUGUGGAAGGAGAUGGGUCUGCCCGAAUGUCCUUCAUUCACUGACCUGAGGACCUCCAUUGUCACUCAUGUAAAAAACAUGCUCCCAAAGGUUGACAGGGAAAGGGUGGCCAACUUCAUGUGCCACAACAUCCAGACGGCAGACAAAUAUUAUGCCAUGAAUUUAAAUCCAACCCAAGCAAAUGAAACCAGGGCACUCUUUGAGGCUGCACUGAAGGGGGAAGAUAACACAGUCGCCGCAGAGAACCAGCCCUCCACCUCAGGAGAAAGAAAGCAGAAGGUGAGAGAGGAUGCCUCCCUCUCCGACGGGAGCACCACCCCUGAAGAGACCAAGGUGAUGUACCAGGAGUCUGGCACGUCCGCCGGUGACUCGGAAGAGGAGGAAGAGGAUGAAGAUGAGGAACAGAUGGCCAGACAACUUCCAGUAAGAUCAGCUAUUCUGACAGGACACAUUUGAUUAUCAAAAUGUACUUGUAAACUAUGUAACAGUCAAGUGUGAAUUCUGAGAUAUAUCUAAUUUCUUGUGUUUGCUCUGUCAGGAGACACCUUCCAAGGUGACCAAUCCUCAGGUGGAGAUGGAACUUACCCCAAAGAGGAAGCGGAGCAUCUGCACACGCCGCAUGGAGGUCGCCAUCAGCCCCAUGCUAGUCUCACCCCUCAAAGUGAGGCUCAAGUCGCCCCCCCACCAGUCCCUCAUUGUCACAUUAAAAGGGAUGCAACAACUAAACUCAAAUAAAGUCAGACUAAAAAAUGCCAUUGCCUCAAGGAGGUUAAAGCUGCAGGAGAAGGUGCAAAAGAGAGGAGGGGACCCCUGAUGCAGCUCGAAGGAAGGGGAGCCGACCAACAACAAGACUUCCUCUUCCAAAUAGUCAUGUAGAUUGUUUUAGACUCUCACAUUUAUACUGUUCUGAUUUUGUUUGGUUUGAUUUUCAAUUUUGGUGUGCUUGUUUACAUUUUAGAAGUGUAAAAUGUGUGUAAUUUAGUCUAACUGUCUGUUCAAUUUUCUAUUUUGGUGUGAUUCUUUAUAAUGUAAAGGUUUGUUCUGUUUUAUUAAAUAACUAGUUUAGUAAUUAUUUGUGUUGUGCUUUCUUUAAGGUUAUAUUCUAACUGUCUGUUCAAUUUUCUAUUUUGGUGUGAUUCUUUAUAAUGUAAAGGUUUGUUCUGUUUUAUUAAAUAACUAGUUGAGUAAUUAUUUGUGUUGUGCUUUCUUUAAGGUUUAUAUUUAGUUUGUCACUUAAUUUGUAAGUGUUAAACAUUCACUGUCUUGUGUUGUUGUCUGUGAAGGUAGGAACAAAUAUUUAGGCAUUAUUGGCAUGGGAAUCAUAUGUUUACAUUGGCAAAGCAAAUUAAGUAGAUAAUAAACAAAAGUGAAAUAAACAAUAAAGUCCUGCUGUAGACUGUACUACUGCUGUUCAGGAAGCACAAUUUGAACUAGAAACUUACACAGACAGGCUGAAAUAAACACUAAAAAAUAACAAAUGGCAUCACCGUAAUAUCCCGCUUGACCGUGGCUCGCUCGGUCUGAGCGCAGCGACCAUGAGAAAAGUAAGCCCAAAAUGAAGCCUGCCCCACAACGUCAUUUGCUUUUGGGUGACAGUGAGAGAACCGUUAGGUUUAGAAGGACAAUUCAACCACAGGAAUGUUCCUAACGUCCUUCCGAUCCAUGCAAGCCUUACCUUGACCGUGUGGCAUCAACCCUUAAAAAUAAAACAGGGUUUUUUGAUCUCACAGAUUACAAUGACAUCUCUCCCCAUAGGAAUACAUUGACAGCUCCCCUAAAUUCAACCUGGAGCCUAUGUGGGUUAAUAAUGCCUUAUGAACCUGUCUUCAAUGCCAAUCCAUCAGGCCACUAUGAGGUCUACCUGUGUCGAUUCUAAGCUUCCUGGAGCAACCGGAAGUGGUUAAAUUCACCCAAAAUGUAUUUUGAUGUACAUAACCUGCAAAUGUGAAAAUGACUGCAUUCAACCCUGGGUAGAUCAGUCAAUUCUUAACAUAAAGACUUUAGGAUUCUCAGGAUUCUGUAAGAGAAUACCCAAAGCAAGAUAUUUGUUUACCUAUAGCUUCCUGUGCCAACCGGAAGUGCCUUUAAUUGGUGUCUCAGGGGCUUCUCCUUAGGAGGGAUGGGGACACCACCACGGGACAGACCCCACACUCAUCGCUAGAGAUCGAACUUCAGACUCCCUUCAAAACCACUGAACCCCUCAACACACCGAAAGAGAUUACGGUGCACACCCUUAGAGGGAGCCGGAACAGGAUAACUCCCUCCACCAUCACAGAGACACAGAGGAGGAGGAACUAUCCAACACCCAGGGAGAGAGAACAAGUGACGUCAGUCGAACACAGUCAGAAAGAGGAGGUGGAAGAGGCGUUAGAUAGAGGAGGAUAUUACCCCAGAGGCCAUUCCUCCUGUUCAUGUGAGCAAGAAAGAGCAGAAGGCUUCUGAUCAGCCAAAUGGCAGGCAGAGGGAGAGGUCAUAGUGAUUCACACCCACAGAGAGAAAGACAACCCACACAACCUCUUGGUUGAGAUGAACCACACAGGUAGAGGCAGAGGGCCUUCAGGGCUAGCCAGUCAGCCUGCCUGCUCUGAUCCUCAAGUCAAUUGUAUAUAAAUU
This 2766-nucleotide long non-coding RNA is filed under the name Oncorhynchus mykiss (rainbow trout). Its description in RNAcentral is "lncRNA (ENSOMYG00000062391.1)". Lineage: Eukaryota; Metazoa; Chordata; Actinopteri; Salmoniformes; Salmonidae. The record is from RNAcentral.